AAAAAAAAAAAAAAGAAAAGGUCGACUAAAAAGGCGGAGCAGAAAAAGAUGAAGCGGCUGCAGCCUGCACAUGGUAAUGAAGUAUUGAAAUUAGGUUCGCAUCUGGAAAUCUUUUACUGGAGGUAAACUCUUGCUCGAAGCAAUGGUUAUAAGCAUAUACUGUAAUGAGAGAUAUUGAUACCACAAAUACUGUCUUUUGUUUCAUAGUUGGUUGUAUCUCAGCGUCUCGUGGGGAAUCCACGUAUAGUUUCGUAGAGUAUGAUUUUCUAUGUUUCUUUUUAGCAAAUUCUGCUCAUCUUUGUGAAUCUAUUUUAUCGAGACUUUGGAAACCUGGUAUCAGCAAAGAUUAGGAAGGGUAAAAUGGGUACUGUUGUUACUUUUAAUAGUUUUUUUU
Molecule: unclassified non-coding RNA, 394 nt
Filed under: Hevea brasiliensis (rubber tree)
Lineage: Eukaryota; Viridiplantae; Streptophyta; Magnoliopsida; Malpighiales; Euphorbiaceae
Source: RNAcentral